UAGUACGAGAGGACCGGGAUGGACCGACCUAUGGUGUACCAGUUGUUUCGCCAGAAGCAUAGCUGGGUAGCUAAGUCGGGACGGGAUAAACGCUGAAAGCAUCUAAGCGUGAAGCCUCCUUCAAGAUGAGAUUUCCCAUAGCGUAAGCUAGUAAGACCCCUUGAAGACUACAAGGUUGAUAGGUCAGAGGUGUAAGUGUGGCAACAUAUUUAGCUGACUGAUACUAAUAGGUCGAGGGCUUGACCAAUAA
This 250-nucleotide ribosomal RNA is filed under the name Clostridium botulinum. Its description in RNAcentral is "partial 23S ribosomal RNA". It matches the Rfam family "Bacterial large subunit ribosomal RNA", at positions 2679 to 2925 of the family's 2925-position model. Lineage: Bacteria; Bacillati; Bacillota; Clostridia; Eubacteriales; Clostridiaceae. The record is from RNAcentral.